GGCCCCAUGGUCAAGUGGUUAAGACACCGCCCUUUCAAGGCGGUAACCCGGGUUCGAAUCCCGGUGGGGUCACCA
This 75-nucleotide transfer RNA is filed under the name Carboxydothermus hydrogenoformans Z-2901. Its description in RNAcentral is "tRNA-Glu (TTC) (tRNA-Glu-TTC-1-1)". It matches the Rfam family "tRNA". From Rfam's summary of the family: Transfer RNA (tRNA) molecules are approximately 80 nucleotides in length. Their secondary structure includes four short double-helical elements and three loops (D, anti-codon, and T loops). The record is from RNAcentral. Lineage: Bacteria; Bacillati; Bacillota; Clostridia; Thermoanaerobacterales; Thermoanaerobacteraceae. RNAcentral also lists the same sequence under 3 other names.